Long non-coding RNA from Peromyscus leucopus (white-footed mouse), 3449 nucleotides. RefSeq lists it as uncharacterized. The transcript has 4 exons. The record is from RefSeq and is a predicted model, not a curated record. NCBI's taxonomy places the organism in Eukaryota, Metazoa, Chordata, Mammalia, Rodentia, Cricetidae.
CCUCCCAAGUGCUGGGAUUAAAGGCGUGCGCCACCACCGGCCGGCUUUGUUUUAUUUUUAAUGUGGACAAUUAUGACAUCACAACGUGGGGAUCUGAGGCAGAUCCACUUUUCACUGGAAAACUCUUAAAUGGAAGCCUAGCACCUGCAUGGAUCCAUUGAGUCCAGACCAUCUGGUGUUGUUUUCUCAUGGAUUUUCCAGGGAACAUCUUUAUAAAGACCCUUCCAUGUACCGGGCUGGCAGAUACAAAGAGAUGCUUGUGUCUCUCAACCUGACUACCAGACUGUUGAAAGAAUGGACCCUAAGGACAUGGGGUUUCCUUUGGAAUCUCAUGCUGGGAGAUGGAAGGGGCACCAUCCAGAGGAGUAACUUGUCUCCCUGAAGGUUAUUUCAGUUUGAACAUCUUGUCAGACCACAUUAGAGGAUGAAGCUAAGACUCAGCUGAUGUUGAACCAAUGGCUUGUGUGGCUGUGUCAGGGUGUUCUGUGUAGCCUGGGUUAGCUGAAGAAAGAAGGCUCUCCAACAUCAAAUUUUAAAGCCUAUGUGGCAGCAGGAAGGUCCAGCCUCUUUGAUGGACUGAGCCGAACAGCCUUACAAAGACUGAUUUAUUGAUUGUUACACUAAGUAUUUCCGUAUACCAAGUUCCCUAAUCUAAUUUACAUCUCUUACUAAAGGAAAGCAUCACAGGCCCUCAUGACUUUAGAACUUUAUUAUGUAUCAUUUGCAAUACACAAUAAUAUAAAAGCCUCAGGUGUGCUGAGGCACCUUGUGACCAAAGUCAAGGGAUGGCUGCAACCUCCUUCAGAUAAACAGUUCUACAAAUCACAGAAACAAUCACUGUUUUCCACAAGGAUUCUUUGCUGUUUACCACAAUGAUUCUUCAAAGUUGGGUGUUCAUUCUUAUGUCUGUCCCAGAUACAGUGUCUCUGCUAAAUUCCUACAACAUGACCGCACCUUGGGAAGGACUGGUUGGAUGUGCGCUUCCUUGGUCCUCUAUUCAACUUUGAUCUUACUUCAGGACCCUAAAGUGGACUUGAGAAGUUCGCUGGAUCUCUGUCCUCCCUUCCCAAAAAGUGAUGUAAGUGCACCAAGGCUAGAGUUCUGGUUCUGGCAAGGGCCACAUCACACAGCUCCUGAGCCUCAGCAAGGACACGGAAUAGUACAGGAAGAACUGGCCCUUGUUGGAGUCACAAGGCCAUGGGAGUUUAGCAGGUGGCUCCUGCUCAGCGAUUUAGCCCAGGAUCCGGCGCUCCCUGGUGUGGCCUUCAGCCAAGCUGUACUGGAGACUUCUGCUCAAACCAAGCUAUAGGAAGUCUACAAAGUUCAGAAUCCUGCCUGUGAAAUGGUUCUGGGAUUCACGCAGGACUCAGGACCAUGUUGCUGUCUCAUUCAGAAGAGAUGCACGAUUCUUAGAAAUUGUCCACAGGACCCAUCAUCACGAUGCUGUUCAAUUCCAGCCUCUGCAACUUCAUCACCCCGUGGAAUUGCUAUGAGAAAGCCCUGGGGGGUGUGGCUCUUGCUGCCAAAGGCUAUUUGAAUGACUUGGUAAAGAUGCGGGAACUGGCCACCAGGAGCUGGGUCUCCUGGGAAUUUGGAGACAUCCUCUUCCAGACGACCCAAGUCCAGAACCAGCUAGCUGAGAGGCUGCAGUCUUUUCACCGUGAGCUGCUCGCUCUGCUGCAGCAGAAGGUAGGGCUGCACCCUGGGUAUCUGAGAGCUGUGCUGGAGAAACACCAGGCAGAACAGAGGAGCACAGGAAAUGCCCUGGACAGGAGUGGGGAGCAGCUGGAGAAGCUCAUCAGGAAGAGCCAGGUACACCGACCAUGCUCUGCCUUCUUCAGCAUCAAUUAUUUAACUAAGAUUGCAUUCCUUAUAUAAAAAUAAAUAGGCGCACGCACAUCUUUAGUAUGUUAACACAUGUUCGUCUUUUAUGAAUGCUAAAAUGAUAUGUAUACCAAAGUGUUUUAAAACAAAUUUAUGAUUUAUUAUAAAUAUAUUAUAAGGGAAUGUUUGAUUUGUACAUCUGUUUUAUCUCCCUAAAUAACCUGGGGUCACAUAAAACUUUUUUAAUGAAGAAGAUUGCUCCUAGAAAACUUUGGAAUUCCCCCGAUUUCUCCUCUCUUUCCAAGACCGGAGUGUUUUUAAUUUCAGAGGAAGUGGGCUCCUCCUACAGUCCCAAGGCAACAAAGCACCCAUACUCUAAACGUGGUUGACAAGUGAGCCUGCUAGCCAAGUCUACUCCAUCAGCUGCUCUAAAUGCUUUUAAAAAAACACCUGGUUUUUAAAUAGUUGAAACACUCAAAAAAUAAUACAAUGUGAGAAGUAAAAAUUACAUGUUGUCCUAACUUGAUACAAACUUGGACAUGGAUUCUAACCCAUAAAAGCAACUAAAAUGUUGCUUUUGGUCAUGGUUUCAUCACAGCAAAAUAAAGAAGCAACCUAACACUUAUGGGAUGAAAUGUCCACAUGCAAAAGCUAAGUCUUGUUGGAACACAGCCACACUUAAUUGUCGGCAGUGUCCACGGCUCUACGGUGGCAGAACUGAACGCGUACCGUAGAGACAGCAUGUCCUGAAAAGUCUCCAACAAUGUUUGCCGGCUGGUCCUUUUCAGGAAUCUGCUGGACCCUGUUCUGCAUGAAUUAGGGGUAAUUCUAGUCUCCAUCCACCAUUUGUUACUAUUGUUACCGUUAUUAGUGUUGAGAGGGAAUGAAACCCAGUUUGGGGCCAGUGGACCACAAGGUCAAGCCUGACCUAAAACAGUCAGGGAGGAGAGAGGUGUUUUCCUCCGAUGGAAAGAGGCCUGAGGAUGCUUCCUUCUUACUUGGACAAUGCAUGUAAGGCUGCAACAUACAGAGUUAUGCCAGCUGACUUCGAGUCACUAGGGAAAAGGCAAUCAUGGAAAAAUCUAAGCUGUUAGCCAACCCAGCCCUUCCUACUUCUAGAUAUCUUUUCAUAUACAAAAUGAUGAUUAUCACAGCUUGGGGACUAUGUUACCUGUUGCCAAGUUUGUCCUAAAAUACACGAGGGGAGAAAUUUUUUUUCCGUUAUGACAUGUUCUCUAUUAUUGAUGACUCACAAAACUGUGAGCAGUUAUGAGCAUCAUCUGUAAUUAUUUUGCCACUACAUUUUAUCCUUAAAAAUACACAAGUUUACAGCUCAUGAAAUGUACAUGUGAUCUGACUUUCUGUCCUUCAUUUUUGCAAUACCAUAAAGAUUUCCAAAGAUACGUAAAAGAAACUGCCUCCUUUCAGAGAUUGUUCUAACAACUACUUCAUUGAUGCAAAUCCCCCUUUUCUUUCACAGUUUCAUAGAAAUCCAAAUCUGUUUAUUCUUUCAAUCUCAAAUAUUGGCUGUAAUGAUUCCAAACAAGACUCGAGGGGGUUUGCAACAGAAGUUCUAUAGUGGGUACUGAGACUGUGUAAAUAAAGCAUUAUUUUUCCUCACUUAA